Molecule: non-coding RNA, 1180 nt
Organism: Thamnophis sirtalis
Lineage: Eukaryota; Metazoa; Chordata; Lepidosauria; Squamata; Natricidae
Source: RefSeq, a predicted model, not a curated record
AAACUCAUAUAGUUAAGUACCUGCUAGACCAUGGAGCCGAUAAGGGGAUUUUUACAAAGAACAGAGAUCUGGCAGUACAUCUGACUUCAAAAAAAGAAAUCAGAAAACUUCUUGGAGCUCCUGAAGUGGAAGGUGGUGAUAAUGAAGAAGUGACUAACUUAAAGCUGCUGAGUAUGGCAAACUGUCUCACCAAUGAAUCAUUUCCAGGGACUUACAAUCAAAAAGGGGAUAGUGCCACUCUUAUGGCUGUUCCACCCAAAGAAAAUAAUGCUGCCAUACCUCUUUUAUCCGCUGGUGAUACUAGCCUUUGUUUAUCAGUUCAGGCAGAAAACAAUGGCAUGGACAUUUCUUUGCAUAAAGAAACCGAACUCCCUGGGAAACACUUUUGGGUUGAGGAGCUCAUUUCAUCCGUGGUUGCAGAAGCAUCUGAAGACAUAAAGUCUAGAGUUCAAAGCUUUCCUCCCUCAUUUUCUUCAUCUACACAUCGCAACAGAAAUCACUUGACUUCAUGUCAAUCUAUACAACAUAUGCCUAACCCAAAAAAUGGUGCCAGAAUGGAGGCAGAGUCAGCAUUACAGCCACUGCUUUUCAACGGAACAUUUCCGUGCAAUAUGCAUGGUGGUGAAAACUUUUCAAGUAAUGUUUGUUUAUUCUUCUUGAUAGAUUGUUUGGCAGGUUUGAUCUUCUUCCAAUGGGCAAGCGCCCAUGAUAAAGCAGGUGGGUUUGGAUGGGCACUAAGAGAGGCAGCAAUAGUUCUAAGAGCCCAGGGCACCUUUGGAGUUCAAGGUAGUCUUUGACUCAGUGGUGGGUUGCACUUACCUUCACUACCUGUUCACUGAUCGUGUGUGUGUUCCGUUCGCGCAUGCGCCUGACUCACACUACACGAGUGUGCACAAUUCACCACCCCUGCAACAACCAGCUGAUUGUCGAGACUCACUCAGGUGCCACACGCUGUGCAUGCAUGCACAAUUAGCCUUUUUCCAUAAAAACAGGUAUAGAGUGCGGGUGGGCCAAAAGAGCCACCAUAUUGGUUCGCUCUCAGCUGCUCCGGGCCGCUACCAAUUCGGCCGAAAUGGGUCAAACCGGCAGCAACCUACCUCUGCAUUCGUUUGUCUGUUAAAUGACGUUAAUUAUAACCACACUGAUAAAAGUGCAAUUUUUCACCUUUGUGACUGUUUUU